This is a long non-coding RNA of Zingiber officinale, 367 nucleotides long. RefSeq lists it as uncharacterized. The record is from RefSeq and is a predicted model, not a curated record. The transcript has 2 exons. NCBI's taxonomy places the organism in Eukaryota, Viridiplantae, Streptophyta, Magnoliopsida, Zingiberales, Zingiberaceae.
AGAUCCACCGAUCGCCGGUGUAGAGAGGGAGUUAGGGCUUCAAUGGGUAAGCAAUCCGAACCUUAUUCCUUCUAUUUCUUUGAUUUGUGCCCUAGCUUCGAGUUUCAUCCUCGAUUCUUGCUUUUCCUCUUUGAUCGUCGGCGAUCCUAGGUCAGGUCAUGGAUCGUUUGAGUGGAUCUUGGAUUCCUCUGCCGGAGCUAGGUCUUGGCAGACGCUGGCUAGUUGAGGGACAGUAGAUUCAAUACAUUGCAUUAUGGAUUGGAUUAGGUGACACUUUCUGGAGGCAACCGAUCGAGUACUUGGACUUUCUCUUCUUCACUGUGAUUGAGGUCUCGGUUGAAGUGGAGAAGAAUCCCAGCAGUCAAUA